UACGAAGGGGGCUAGCGUUGCUCGGAAUUACUGGGCGUAAAGCGCACGUAGGCGGCUUUCUAAGUCGGGGGUGAAAUCCUGGAGCUCAACUCCAGGACUGCCUUCGAUACUGGAGAGCUCGAGUCCGGGAGAGGUGAGUGGAACUGCGAGUGUAGAGGUGAAAUUCGUAGAUAUUCGCAAGAACACCAGUGGCGAAGGCGGCUCACUGGCCCGGUACUGACGCUGAGGUGCGAAAGCGUGGGGAGCAAACAGG
RNAcentral lists this ribosomal RNA (253 nucleotides) under uncultured bacterium. RNAcentral's name for it is "partial 16S ribosomal RNA". It matches the Rfam family "Bacterial small subunit ribosomal RNA", at positions 524 to 776 of the family's 1533-position model. The record is from RNAcentral.